Molecule: ribosomal RNA, 350 nt
Filed under: uncultured Fusibacter sp.
Lineage: Bacteria; Bacillati; Bacillota; Clostridia; Eubacteriales; Fusibacteraceae
Description: bacterial SSU rRNA
Rfam family: Bacterial small subunit ribosomal RNA
Source: RNAcentral
GAGACAGGUGGUGCAUGGUUGUCGUCAGCUCGUGUCGUGAGAUGUUGGUUAAGUCCCGCAACGAGCGCAACCUUGUGUUUAGUUGCAAACAGGUCAAGCUGUGCACUCUAGACAGACUGCCGUGGACAACACGGAGGAAGGUGGGGAUGACGUCAAAUCAUCAUGCCCCUUAUGAUCUGGGCUACACACGUGCUACAAUGGCCGGUACAACGGGCAGCGAAGGAGCGAUCCGGAGCGAAUCCUAAAAAGCCGGUCCCAGUUCGGAUUGCAGGCUGAAACUCGCCUACAUGAAGUUGGAGUUGCUAGUAAUCGCGAAUCAGAAUGUCGCGGUGAAUGCGUUCCCGGGUCUU